Molecule: ribosomal RNA, 207 nt
Filed under: uncultured bacterium
Lineage: Bacteria
Description: partial 16S ribosomal RNA
Rfam family: Bacterial small subunit ribosomal RNA
Source: RNAcentral
CACGUAGGCGGUCUCUUAAGUCGGAUGUGAAAGCCCUCGGCUUAACCGAGGAAGUGCAUCCGAAACUGAUUGACUAGAAUCUCAAAGAGGGUCGCGGAAUUCCCGGUGUAGAGGUGAAAUUCGUAGAUAUCGGGAGGAACACCAGUGGCGAAGGCGGCGACCUGGGUGAUGAUUGACGCUGAGGUGCGAAAGCGUGGGGAGCAAACA